RNAcentral lists this ribosomal RNA (48 nucleotides) under Goodenia gypsicola. RNAcentral's name for it is "partial 18S small subunit ribosomal RNA". It matches the Rfam family "Eukaryotic small subunit ribosomal RNA", at positions 1784 to 1831 of the family's 1831-position model. Lineage: Eukaryota; Viridiplantae; Streptophyta; Magnoliopsida; Asterales; Goodeniaceae. The record is from RNAcentral.
AUAAGUCGUAACAAGGUUUCCGUAGGUGAACCUGCGGAAGGAUCAUUG